Molecule: ribosomal RNA, 253 nt
Filed under: uncultured bacterium
Lineage: Bacteria
Description: partial 16S ribosomal RNA
Rfam family: Bacterial small subunit ribosomal RNA
Source: RNAcentral
GACGAACCGUCCAAACGUUAUUCGGUAUCACUGGGCUUAAAGAGUUCGUAGGCGGCUCCGUAGGUGAGGUGUGAAAUCCCUCGGCUCAACCGAGGAAUUGCGCUUCAAACCGUGGAGCUUGAGGGAGACAGGGGUAAGCGGAACAGAUGGUGGAGCGGUGAAAUGCGUUGAUAUCAUCUGGAACACCGGUGGCGAAGGCGGCUUACUGGGUCUUUUCUGACGCUGAGGAACGAAAGCUAGGGUAGCGAACGGG